This 379-nucleotide unclassified non-coding RNA is filed under the name uncultured Actinomycetes bacterium. Its description in RNAcentral is "uncultured actinobacterium contains 16S-23S intergenic spacer region". Lineage: Bacteria; Bacillati; Actinomycetota; Actinomycetes. The record is from RNAcentral.
UCCGAGUUGACCCCGGCAGUCUCCUAUGAGUCCCCACCAUUACGUGCUGGCACCAUAGAACGAGGGUUGCGCUCGUUGCGGGACUUAACCCAACAUCUCACGACACGAGCUGACGACAACCAUGCACCACCUGUGCACGAGCCCCGAAGGGCUGCCGGGUUUCCCCGACAUUCCCGUGCAUGUCAAGCCUUGGUAAGGUUCUUCGCGUUGCGUCGAAUUAAUCCACAUGCUCCGCCGCUUGUGCGGGCCCCCGUCAAUUCCUUUGAGUUUUAGCCUUGCGGCCGUACUCCCCAGGCGGGGUGCUUAAUGCGUUAGCUGCGGCACGGAUCGCGUCGAUAGCGACCCACACCUAGCACCCAUCGUUUACGGCGUGGACUAC